GUGCAGGGGAUGCCCAUCGUUUACUGUGAAAAAAUUAGAGUGUUCAAAGCAGGCUUAUGCCGUUGAAUAUAUUAGCAUGGAAUAAUGAGAUAGGACCUUGGUACUAUUUUGUUGGUUUGCGCACCGAGGUAAUGAUUAAUAGGGACAGUUGGGGGUAUUCGUAUUCCAUUGUCAGAGGUGAAAUUCUUGGAUUUUUGGAAGACGAACUACUGCGAAAGCAUUUACCAAGGAUGUUUUCAUUAAUCAAGAACGAAAGUUAGGGGAUCGAAGAUGAUUAGAUACCAUCGUAGUCUUA
Molecule: ribosomal RNA, 295 nt
Filed under: Fragilariales sp. RCC5408
Lineage: Eukaryota; Bacillariophyta; Fragilariophyceae; Fragilariales
Description: partial small subunit ribosomal RNA
Rfam family: Eukaryotic small subunit ribosomal RNA
Source: RNAcentral